UACGAAGGGGGCUAGCGUUGUUCGGAGUUACUGGGCGUAAAGGGCGCGUAGGCGGCGCAUCAAGUCAGGCGUGAAAGCCCUGGGCUCAACCCGGGAAUUGCCUUUAAGACUGCAUCGCUAGAAUUGUGGAGAGGUAAGUGGAAUUCCGAGUGUAGAGGUGAAAUUCGUAGAUAUUGGGAAGAACACCGGUGGCGAAGGCGGCGACCUGGUCCUUGACUGACGCUGAGGCGCGAAAGCGUGGGGAGCAAACAGG
Molecule: ribosomal RNA, 253 nt
Filed under: uncultured bacterium
Lineage: Bacteria
Description: partial 16S ribosomal RNA
Rfam family: Bacterial small subunit ribosomal RNA
Source: RNAcentral